AGCGAACGCUGGCGGCAGGCUUAACACAUGCAAGUCGAACGGGCAUCUUCGGAUGUCAGUGGCAGACGGGUGAGUAACACGUGGGAACGUACCCUUCGGUUCGGAAUAACUCAGGGAAACUUGAGCUAAUACCGGAUACGCCCUUUUGGGGAAAGGUUUACUGCCGAAGGAUCGGCCCGCGUCUGAUUGGCUUGUUGGUGGGGUAACGGCCUACCCAGGCGACGAUCAGUAGCUGGUCUGAGAGGAUGAUCAGCCACACUGGGACUGAGACACGGCCCAGACUCCUACGGGAGGCAGCAGUGGGGAAUAUUGGACAAUGGGCGCAAGCCUGAUCCAGCCAUGCCGCGUGAGUGAUGAAGGCCGUAGGGUUGUAAAGCUCUUUUGUCCGGGACGAUAAUGACGGUACCGGAAGAAUAAGCCCCGGCUAACUUCGUG
Molecule: ribosomal RNA, 435 nt
Filed under: uncultured bacterium
Lineage: Bacteria
Description: partial 16S ribosomal RNA
Rfam family: Bacterial small subunit ribosomal RNA
Source: RNAcentral